CAAAAGUCUUACCAAGAGACUGACUCAGUGAUCAGCUCUGUCACCACCUAGGUGAAGGACAUUGCCUUCCCCAACAUCUCUGAUCUGGGUGCCUGUGUGUGGGAUUUGUCUGAUUACAACAUCCCCUCUCAGACUAACAUGAUCGUCACCCCCAACUCAACUGAGCUGUCCAAAGCUCCCAAGCCAACCCACCAUUUGCAUGUCAGACAGUGACUGCACAGAGGGAUCCAGUGAU
Oncorhynchus gorbuscha (pink salmon) is the source of this 235-nucleotide long non-coding RNA. RefSeq lists it as uncharacterized. Lineage: Eukaryota; Metazoa; Chordata; Actinopteri; Salmoniformes; Salmonidae. The record is from RefSeq and is a predicted model, not a curated record. The transcript has 3 exons.